CGAUGAGAGAAGAACCCCGCUCGCAGGGGACUGCGGGCGGACCCGGGACGGGACCUCCCCAGUACCGCCCCGGACGUGCCUUCGCGCACGGUGCCGGCGCCUCGCGUGCCGGCGAUCCUCACCGAUCGGA
RNAcentral lists this non-coding RNA (130 nucleotides) under Streptomyces rubrolavendulae. Its description in RNAcentral is "Streptomyces RNA 5676". It matches the Rfam family "Streptomyces RNA 5676". Rfam says of the family: Identified by deep sequencing of transcriptome at the end of exponential growth phase. Appears longer on northern blot than sequencing transcript. The record is from Rfam by way of RNAcentral. Lineage: Bacteria; Bacillati; Actinomycetota; Actinomycetes; Kitasatosporales; Streptomycetaceae.